RNAcentral lists this ribosomal RNA (502 nucleotides) under uncultured bacterium. RNAcentral describes it as "bacterial SSU rRNA". It matches the Rfam family "Bacterial small subunit ribosomal RNA", at positions 903 to 1397 of the family's 1533-position model. The record is from RNAcentral.
AAAUGAAUAGACGGGGGCUCACACAAGCGGUGGAGCAUGUGGCUUAAUUCGAAGCAACGCGAAGAACCUUAUCCAGGGCUUGACAUACACGGAUUAGUUCGGUGAAAGUCGAAUGACACUCUUUGAGUGGAACGUGAACAGGUGCUGCAUGGCUGUCGUCAGCUCGUGCUGUGAAGUGUCGCGUUAAGUCGCUUAACGAGCGAAACCCCUGUCACUAGUUGCCAGCACGUUAUGGUGGGGACUCUAGUGAGACUGCCGGCGUCAAGCCGGAGGAAGGUGGGGACGACGUCAAGUCAUCAUGGCCUUUAUGCCCUGGGCUGCACACGUGCUACAAUGGCGUAUACAGAGCGACGCAAUACCGUAAGGUGGAGCAAAUCGCACAAAGUACGCCCCAGUUCAGAUUGUGGUCUGCAACUCGACCACAUGAAGGUGGAAUCGCUAGUAAUCGCGUAUCAGCAACGACGCGGUGAAUACGUUCCUGAGCCUUGUACACACCGCCCGU